GAUGAACGCUGGCGGCGUGCCUAAUACAUGCAAGUCGAGCGAACGGACGAGAAGCUUGCUUCUCUGAUGUUAGCGGCGGACGGGUGAGUAACACGUGGAUAACCUACCUAUAAGACUGGGAUAACUUCGGGAAACCGGAGCUAAUACCGGAUAAUAUUUUGAACCGCAUGGUUCAAAAGUGAAAGACGGUCUUGCUGUCUCUUCUAGAUGGUUCCGCGCUGCAUUAGCUAGUUGGUAAGGUAACGGCUUACCAAGGCAACGAUGCAUAGCCGACCUGAGAGGGUGAUCGGCCACACUGGAACUGAGACACGGUCCAGACUCCUACGGGACGCAGCAGUAGGGAAUCUUCCGCAAUGGGCGAAAGCCUGACGGAGCAACGCCACGUGAGAGAUGAAGGUCUUCGGAUCGUAAAACUCUGUUAUUAGGGAAGAACAGAUGUGUAAGUAACUGUGCACAUCUUGACGGUACCUAAUCAGAAAGCCACGGCUAACUACGUG
RNAcentral lists this ribosomal RNA (497 nucleotides) under uncultured bacterium. RNAcentral describes it as "partial 16S ribosomal RNA". It matches the Rfam family "Bacterial small subunit ribosomal RNA", at positions 28 to 507 of the family's 1533-position model. The record is from RNAcentral.